Long non-coding RNA from Panthera uncia (snow leopard), 3422 nucleotides. RefSeq lists it as uncharacterized. The transcript is spliced from 13 exons. Lineage: Eukaryota; Metazoa; Chordata; Mammalia; Carnivora; Felidae. The record is from RefSeq and is a predicted model, not a curated record.
AGAAAAAAUUCCUACUCUGUUUCCUGCUGCCCCUCAGACCUGACAUGUGCCAGACAGAGUCAACCGCCCUGUCAGAGCUGUUUCCUGCCCUCUACCUCUCAGUCAGGGACUCAACACACUCCCUGUCGCCCUGCUUUGUUCCUGGGGUUCCCUUACCCUCACCCUCCUUCCGCAUUUGCUUGGUGACCAAAUCCGGUGUCCCUGCCUCCCAAAUGCCUGAUUAGAAUAGAUGCUCCUCUUCUUGUCCCCACUGCUACUUCCUGAGUUCAGGUCUGAGGUCUGGGGCUUUUUACCUGAGCCCCCACACCGGCCUGGAUGCCUCCUGUCUUUCUUCCUCUGUAGGGGUAACUUCAAAAACAUUCAGGUCACUCCUGGUACUUCAGAGUGGCCUGCAAGUGAGGUUUUCCUGAACAUUUUUUUCAAAGCAUGAGAAUCUCUUUUUCCUCAGCUACCCUGCUCUCACUCAGUAACCCACCCCUGCCAAUGGAACAAAAUCCGCAAGGAGAAGUAGAGGGACUACAGAUAUAAUCCUUAAGGAAACAAAGUUUCUGGAAGAGUGUCCUGUAUCUCUAGUGUUUCCUGAAUUCUCUCAUAGCUAGGGACUUUUUUCAUAUAACUCAGGCAGAUUUUUAACUCCUCUCUGGCCCUCGUGUGAUCCCAGCCAACCCUGUAGCUUAACCAUGCUUCCUAAAACACAACUUUGCCCAGAGGUUGCCCUCGCUCCUAAUUCUUGGCAUUUAAGUGCCUGAACCUCUCUGGCCUCAGUUUGUCCAGGUGUCAAAUGAGGAUAAUAUAAACAAUCCUCAGGUUGUGGGAUUACUAUGAGCACUGAAUGAGCCCAGCUCAGCCAUACAUAACAUGGCCUUGUUCAAGGGAGUCGUCUGUCUCCUUGGGCAUAGCUGCCCCUCUAGUCUCACUGCCUGGACCCUUCCCCAGUUCCCAGCACUCAGUGACUGUGCCCUCCACACUGCUCUCUCAUGGCAGAUACUCUCCCUCACUUCCUGUGUGUGGCCUCAUGAAGCUUCCCCUAACAGUCUGAGCCGGGUGUCAGGGCCUGCUCCUUCUUCCUGACAACUUUCCAGAAUCCUGUCUAUGGUACUCCUUUUGUGCAAGGUUACUUUGGCUUUUUCUGUUUUGCAUGUGUAUGUGUGUGCCCAGUUAUUGCAGCUAGACUGGAAUCUCUCUGAAAACAAGGACUCUGUCCACUUCACCUUUGUGCUGUCCCCAGAGCCUGCCUCUGCCAGAGGAGACACUAGAUGUAAAUGAUGGCGAUAAACUGUCCAGUUUGAAUCAUCCAGGAUUCAUCGACUCUCUACCAUGAUGAGCUACUGUACCACGCUGGGCUUCAGCAGAUGAGUGACAUAGGCCCUGACCCGGAGUCGGUGCAUGCUAGUUGGAUAAGAAAGGCAAAAACAUUUCAACAGAAAACCCUGUGGAAAUUGAGACAAGUUAUCUUCUCAAAGUCCUGAACUCCCAUUCCUACUUCAGAAGGAACUCCUCUGUUCACAGCAGCUAAAGCUAGCCAAAGUCCAGUUCCUUCCCAAGGAAAUUCUAUUUGGAUGUUGGACGCACACCUUUCCAAGCAUUGUGUUCUUCAAAUUUUGCGCCAACCCUCUAUUUAAUCAUUAAAAGGACUGUUAUUUUAAGUAUCAACUUCCUCAGUAACAGUGUUCGACUGAAAUCCUACAGAAUGGUGACUUUGCCCAGAGUGUGACUUCAGUGAGCUGGGAUAUAGAGGAUGGAAAGUGUCAAGUCAGUACAGCAAGAACCCAAGGAGAGGAAAAUAAAGUAAGUGGAAGAAAGUAGCCUCCCACCUCCAAGGUGACCCGCAGGAUUCAUGGAUACAGUAUGCUAGCUGAACCUGAGACAGACUGAAACUGCCGUCUACAUUGUUCUAACCAACUGAGCCACAGUACUUCAGGGAUUGACGAUGGAACAAAAAGGCUCUGUAGUUCCCACUCAGAGGUUGAGCUGAUGGCGGUUGCUGUGUGGUUGGAAAAAACAGAAGGAUGGCUGAAAGGCUGGGGAUUUGAAACACCGACGUCUGGGACUCAGCUCAGGCUCUUCACCCUGGAAGUGCCUGUCAGGAGCAGAAUACCUGAUUGUCUCUGUCUGCUUCUAGAUCCAGACCUCAGCUGGCUGUGGCUUCAUUCCUACUUAGCAGAUACAUCAGCAAACACAUGGGUGAGAGAAGAAGGCUGUGAAACAAGAAAAUGAAUAAAAUUCCAAUCAAAGGAAGAAAUAAGGCAGCAAAACCACGUCAAAGUUAUCCCUGUAUAGUGCCGAGUGUGACGGCAUUAACGAGUGAGAAAGCACGGGCUCUGAAAAUUCCCUCUGCAGCCCACCUCCCACCUGCCAGAGGCCUCAGGUGCACCAGCCACAGGGCCACAACACUUCCACACACACCCCCCAACGUCUGUGGCCCUAUGUCCCAGCUCCUUUCAUAGCCAAGAGCAGGCCGCGUAGUGCUACUCUGGCUGCCUAGCAAUGUUUUUCUGUCCCAUGGGACUCACAACAGGAGAAAUGGUUGUGUGCAAAGGAGUGACAGGGGAAAGGAGCAGCCGCAUCCCUCCCUGGGAGGGGUCCAAGACCUGGACCGCAGUAGCAGCUGACACAUGGCAGGGAAGCCAGCAGAGGAAGAGAAAUACUUAGCAACGCUGCCACAGAAAGCUCCGGUGUGAAACCAGUGCAUCUGUACUGACUUCCGGGCAGCCUCCCAGCCCUGAGAUGGGCCGGAUGGCAAGAGCACACGGUCCUUGUACUAGCUCACGCGCACACACCCCUUCUUCUGCUGUGCUCUGGCAGUUUCUCAAAAACAGAUGCGGCUUCUCCCCAGGCUGGGACCUGGCUUUGGAGGCAAAGGAAGACGGUGGAUGUCACGGCACAUUACACACUGUGAAGUGAGGACCAGCACAAGUGCUGAGGCUGGUUCUUGUCCCUUCCGAUGAAGCUGAGGGCCCCUCAGUUCAGUCACGUGUGGCCUUCCCCAGCCUAAGGCAAUUUGGCGCCGGUUACAGACCCUGAGUUGGUAGGUAGACACAGUCAUGUCUGUGGCCUGACCCCAGUGCAGGAUGUCCUUGGAACCACAGUAGAGGGGACGGCCAUCUUGCCAGCGCAACCCAAGGAAAAGCCCCCGGUAAUGUGCUGGAACGAAUUGGAGGUCAACCAAUCACCGAGUGACAGCACAACCUGACGCGAAAAAGGCCCACCCGGACCUAAACCCGGAACCGCUGCAGCUUAAAAACCCCAACCCACCACACCCGGGCGUGACUUCCCUGACUCCUCUCUCUCUCUCCCUGAGUCAUGGAACCUCGCCCAAGACCCUUGUUCCCAAUAAAGCCUUUGACUGCUAAAAUUUUUAGUUCUUGACUCUUACCUUUACCCUAGCCUACCCCUAACCCUAACAAUAUACACAUAUAAAU